UUUAUACAUCAGGAGCUAAAUCACUGAGAAAUUUGUGUUUUGUCAGGAGAAGUCAGUGGCAGAGAGAUAAAUGGCUGUGGAGUGCCUGAACCACAAAGCUGCCAUAGAUCAGUGGAAAUGAUGGACCAUGGAGCUACCCACUGAAUGAAGCUGUGGAGCACAAGGGAUUUGACUCAAUCUGCAGGAUCAGGUGGCAGUCAUAAAGAGUAAACAAAAGAAGACACAUAAUAAAAGUAAUCGUUCUAACUUUUAGUUGUUUCUGCUGUAAACAACAUUAACUGCAGUCUUUGAAGAGGAUAUGAUACUAUUCUCACUCCAGUCUCACUUGCCAACAAGGAGAUCCAGAUAAUCCUCAAGCUGCUGAGUCAAUAUGUGGUUAUAGAGAAAAGUAUUUCUCAAAUAUGAGAGAUUGUAUGUCCACUGGGAAAGCUCCUUUUCAGGCUUCUCUCUCAAGCAAAACAAAACUAAACUAUUUCUCGGUUUGUAAGCCUUUGAAACUCAGUAUCAUCAGAAAUUUUGUGA
This 522-nucleotide long non-coding RNA is filed under the name Junco hyemalis (dark-eyed junco). Its description in RNAcentral is "lncRNA (ENSJHYG00000002258.1)". The record is from RNAcentral. Lineage: Eukaryota; Metazoa; Chordata; Aves; Passeriformes; Passerellidae.